AGAGUUUGAUCAUGGCUCAGAGCGAACGCUGGCGGCAGUAACACAUGCAAGUCGAGCGGGUGUAGCAAUACAUCAGCGGCAGACGGGUGAGUAACGCGUGGGAACGUACCUUUUGGUUCGGAACAACCCAGGGAAACUUGGGCUAAUACCGGAUAAGCCCUUACGGGGAAAGAUUUAUCGCCGAAAGAUCGGCCCGCGUCUGAUUAGCUAGUUGGUGAGGUAAUGGCUCACCAAGGCGACGAUCAGUAGCUGGUCUGAGAGGAUGAUCAGCCACAUUGGGACUGAGACACGGCCCAAACUCCUACGGGAGGCAGCAGUGGGGAAUAUUGGACAAUGGGGGGCAACCCUGAUCCAGCCAUGCCGCGUGAGUGAUGAAAGGCCCUAGGGUUGUAAAGCUCUUUUUGUGCGGGGAAGAUAAUGACGGUACCCGCAAGAAUAAAGCCCCCGGCUAACUUCGUGCCAGCAGCCGCGGUAAUACGAAGGGGGGCUAGCGUUGCUCGGAAUCACUGGGCGUAAAGGGUGCGUAGGCGGGUCUUUAAGUCAGGGGUGAAAUCCUGGAGCUCAACUCCAGAACUGCCUUUGAUACUGAGGAUCUUGAGUCCGGGAGAGGUGAGUGGAACUGCGAGUGUAGAGGUGAAAUUCGUAGAUAUUCGCAAGAACACCAGUGGCGAAGGCGGCUCACUGGCCCGGUACUGACGCUGAGGCACGAAAGCGUGGGGACAAACAGGAUUAGAUACCCUAGUAGUCC
RNAcentral lists this ribosomal RNA (748 nucleotides) under uncultured bacterium. Its description in RNAcentral is "bacterial SSU rRNA". It matches the Rfam family "Bacterial small subunit ribosomal RNA", at positions 8 to 796 of the family's 1533-position model. The record is from RNAcentral.